UACGUAGGGGGCUAGCGUUGUCCGGAUUUAUUGGGCGUAAAGAGCGUGUAGGCGGCCAGGUAGGUCUGCUGUGAAAACUCGAGGCUCAACCUCGAGACGUCGGCGGAAACCAUCUGGCUAGAGUCCGGAAGAGGAGAGUGGAAUUCCUGGUGUAGCGGUGAAAUGCGCAGAUAUCAGGAAGAACACCCGUGGCGAAGGCGGCUCUCUGGGACGGUACUGACGCUGAGACGUGAAAGCGUGGGGAGCGAACAGG
This 253-nucleotide ribosomal RNA is filed under the name uncultured bacterium. RNAcentral's name for it is "partial 16S ribosomal RNA". It matches the Rfam family "Bacterial small subunit ribosomal RNA", at positions 524 to 776 of the family's 1533-position model. The record is from RNAcentral.